This 113-nucleotide ribosomal RNA is filed under the name Acanthosepion pharaonis. Lineage: Eukaryota; Metazoa; Mollusca; Cephalopoda; Sepiida; Sepiidae. The record is from RNAcentral.
UACAGCCACACCAUGUUGAAACAUUGGUUCCCAUAUGAUCACUAAAGUUAAGCAACAUCAAACCUGGUCAGUACCUAGAUGGGUGACUGCUUGGGAAUACCAGGUUUUGUAAG